Long non-coding RNA from Cololabis saira (Pacific saury), 1263 nucleotides. RefSeq lists it as uncharacterized. The record is from RefSeq and is a predicted model, not a curated record. Lineage: Eukaryota; Metazoa; Chordata; Actinopteri; Beloniformes; Belonidae. The transcript has 4 exons.
AUCAGUAACUAGACUCUUCUCCUCCAUUGUUCCCCGAUGGUGGAACGACCUACCAAACUCUGUCAGAUCUACAGGGUCUGGACCUACUUUUAAGAGCAAGCUAAAGACUCUUUAAGGAGCACUUCUGCAUCUAGUAAACUUCUCUGCUCAUCAGAAUUAGUUAGGAGAUUUCCCCAGCUCUUGCAGGACUCAGCACUGACUCUCUCCGCUACCUGUGAACCCACGACCUCUCACACAUGAUCUUCUGCAUCCUGACCCCUCGACCUUUCUUCCUUGGAGGUCACGGAAACGCAGCCCUGAUCCAGAGCCUUUGCAGCAAAAGACAAGCCAUAAAACAUCCACGGAGGCUCAUUGUGCAGACUGUCAGAGAAGGCAUUCCCUCGUCGCUGCCCAGGCCUCAGGAAGAUAAAAGACGACCAUCUGGCCAAGGACGCCCCACAAUGCUGUGCCACACCUCGAAACAUUUCUGUAGCUGUGCUCAGUACCAAUGCUCUGCAGGGGGAUUUCAUGUGCAGUGAAAGUGCUCUCUGUUUAUUCUCCACGGAUUUGACUCACUCCGUUUCGUUAUGAGUUGCAUCUGCACGUAUGGGUAUACAGCGGGGGUGGGGGGUGGCAUGCAAAUUGUCCUGUGAGGAGUAAGAGACUAAUGAUUUAGUCAGUUCCUGUUAGUCACACAUGGUAUUUGUAGUAGUUUUUUCUUUCUUGAAUGAGUCAUGGUUCUGAGAAAAAAAUUAGACGCACACACAGAUAAUGAGAUCUAUCGAUGUACUGUAUACAAGAGUAAAUAAUUGCCAAUUGCUACAAAUCAUGAUGUCCUUGAGGCUUCACAGACCCUCACAAUGGACGUACUCAUAGUUUACAUCUGGCAACAACCCCAGCGUGCAUGCCUUUGCACGUGUACUGUGUAUACACGAACAGAUAAAGAAUGCUGAAGUCACGGAUGUUUACAGCCCCCUUGAGGAAACUGUGAGUCAAGUCUGAAUUUCUGCCGCGAUUCAUCAGAAAAACCUUCAACCAUCUCUGGAAAGCCUGGAUGAUGCAUUGUGGAGACACAUACACACAAGUUUAUUUCUCUUUUUUAAUAAUACAAUCAAAAAUCCGUCUCCAUGCUUGAGGAAUGAUACAAUUCACAGACUAUGAUGCUUUUACACAGAAUGAUUUGGCGCAAUUUGAUGCAAUUGAAUACACUACUAAACCAUUCUUAACACUUAUGGUACCAGGGAGCUUCUUCGGAAGCGUGUUCAAGUUCUUGCAGUUUCCCCG